AGUUUUCGCCGCGGCUUCUCCUCCCAAUAGCCGCUGCGAAUAGAACCUGCGAACUCCUCCCCCCAAAAUCGCAGGUUUCCAAACGACCCCCGCCGGUCCUCCCCCGGCGGGUGUUGUCG
RNAcentral lists this small RNA (119 nucleotides) under Aureimonas altamirensis. RNAcentral describes it as "Aurantimonas altamirensis Alphaproteobacterial ar14". It matches the Rfam family "Alphaproteobacterial ar14". Rfam says of the family: Smr14C2 was renamed NfeR1 (Nodule Formation Efficiency RNA) highly expressed in salt stress and during the symbiotic interaction on legume roots. Lineage: Bacteria; Pseudomonadati; Pseudomonadota; Alphaproteobacteria; Hyphomicrobiales; Aurantimonadaceae. The record is from Rfam by way of RNAcentral.